This is a long non-coding RNA of Scophthalmus maximus (turbot), 2103 nucleotides long. RefSeq lists it as uncharacterized. Lineage: Eukaryota; Metazoa; Chordata; Actinopteri; Pleuronectiformes; Scophthalmidae. The transcript has 3 exons. The record is from RefSeq and is a predicted model, not a curated record.
GCACAUGACUAACCCCGUCAGCUGGACCAUUGUUGAGCUGGAACUGUGGCUCUUUAACACGGUCACCAGAAAGCCUUGUAAAAACUUUGUCACUAUGACACCCCCACCCCCGUCCUGUUAUCUACCACAAACAAACGGUCCCCUAGCAACAGCCAAGUGGCUCCAAAGUAACAGUCAAGCUGUUGAGUGUGGAUCCAUAUUCAGAGGAGAAUUACAACACGCUUCUUUAAACUCCGUGCGAUUCCUCGGGGGAACGAGAGCAGGUGACGGACAGGAGGACACACAGAGCUGCAGGUGACUGUGUAGGACGUGAGGUGACGGACAGGAGGACACACGGAGCUGCAGGUGACUGUGUUGGACGUGAGGUGACGGACAGGAGGACACACGGAGCUGCAGGUGACUGUGUUGGACGUGAGAUGACGGACAGGAGGACACACCGAGCUGCAGGUGACUGUGUAGGACGUGAGGUGACGGACAGGAGGACACAGAGCUGCAGGUGACUGUGUAGGACGUGAGGUGACGGACAGGAGGACACAGAGCUGCAGGUGACUGUGUUGGACGUGAGGUGACGGACAGGAGGACACACGGAGCUGCAGGUGACUGUGUUGGACGUGAGGUGACGGAUAGGAGGACACAGAGCUGCAGGUGACUGUGUUGGACGUGAGGUGACGGACAGGAGGACACACGGAGCUGCAGGUGACUGUGUUGGACGUGAGGUGACGGAUAGGAGGACACACGGAGCUGCAGGUGACUGUGUUGGACGUGAGGUGACGGACAGGAGGACACACCCAGACAGGAGGACACACGGAGCUGCAGGUGACAGCGUGUGCGUCCACACAAAGCACAGGAGGAAGUUUCCUGAGAGCACAGACUUCACUCUGCUUCCACCAGGACCUCGGCCCCCGGCCGACACCCGGCUCUCCUCCAGAGCCUCGGAGCCUCCGGGCCUGCGAGGUGAAGACCACAUCAGAUGACACAUGGCAAAUAUUGUGCCGUGAUGUCACUUGUGAUGUCACUUGUGAUGUUUGUAUUUCAUGUCUUGAGUGAUUUAAUAUCAUGUAGAGAGAUUUUGCUGCGUGACACUUCACCUCGUGUCUGCUUCAGUUUGUGUCACUUGUUCUUUUUGUGACAUGUCAUUGCCCCGUGUCGUUUCACUUCCUGUCAUGUUUGAUUCUUCUCUUCUGUUGUCAUUUGGGGUCACGUCAUGUGAUGUUAGUUGAGUUGUGGCCUCCAAUCCUGGUCAUAAACUCCUGUUUGUGGUGGUAAAUCUGAUUAGAUGAGUUGUAUAACGAUUUGAUUCCUUCAUAGUGCAGGGGCUCUGCUGUCCCCUGCAGCAGAGGCCUGGCACUGGCAGGGUGACGCCUCAGAGAGGGGGGGGGGGGCUGGCAGCCUGACACUGAGGAGUCUCCCCCAGGCUGGAGCCGCCCCCGACAGACACACAGCAGGUGAAUGUACAGACUUGCGCCCCCUCACGACUCUGGUCCCUGCUGAUACAGGAACGUUCAGAAACGGUUAUUUGUCUCAUUAUACAAAUACAAAAACAUGUUUAAUAUUUAAGUGAUUAUUCACUGAGUAAAUGAACAGGGACUGAACUGGGGGAAGCAGGGAUCGAACCGCCGACCUUCAGGUCAGUGGACAACCGUCUCUACCUGUUCGGUGUCAUGUAAGUUAUGAGGUUAACAUGUCAAUAAAAAACUAUUCAUGUGAAGAACAGAUGCAAACAAGUGACGGAUUAUUGAUGUGAUGCAAAAACCACAAACUCUAAAUAGGUUGAUGUGUAAUUGACUGAGUUUUCUCUUUUACUUCGUCUACUUUGACCUUAAUCUGAGACAACAUGAGCAUGUGGAGAGUAAAGUACAGUAAAGUGCCUUGAAAUAAUGUACGUUUGAACACACACACACACACACACACACACACACACACACACACCCCCCCCCCAUCUGGCUGCAGAUUUCCAUAAUCAUAUCCAGACAACGUGCACAUAUGAAUUGUUCUUCCAGCUUUGGUCGGUGUUGACUCAAACAAAUUAAACGUUUCACUGCCAAUGGACAUGAAAGUUUGUCUGUUGUGCAUUUUUCUCUGUAACAUUUGGAGCGAGGGCGG